Molecule: transfer RNA, 89 nt
Filed under: Pseudomonas amygdali pv. lachrymans str. M301315
Lineage: Bacteria; Pseudomonadati; Pseudomonadota; Gammaproteobacteria; Pseudomonadales; Pseudomonadaceae
Description: tRNA-Ser
Rfam family: tRNA
About the family: Transfer RNA (tRNA) molecules are approximately 80 nucleotides in length. Their secondary structure includes four short double-helical elements and three loops (D, anti-codon, and T loops). Further hydrogen bonds mediate the characteristic L-shaped molecular structure. tRNAs have two regions of fundamental functional importance: the anti-codon, which is responsible for specific mRNA codon recognition, and the 3' end, to which the tRNAs corresponding amino acid is attached (by aminoacyl-tRNA synthetases). tRNAs cope with the degeneracy of the genetic code in two manners: having more than one tRNA (with a specific anti-codon) for a particular amino acid; and 'wobble' base-pairing, i.e. permitting non-standard base-pairing at the 3rd anti-codon position.
Source: RNAcentral
GGAUAGUUGCCGGAAUCGGUCAACGGGCCGGCUUGGAAAGCCGGUGUUGCGCAAGCGACAUAGGGGUUCGAGCCCCCUGCUAUCCGCCA